AUCCAACUGACGUGUCCCAAUUCAGACGAAACGUGCGUCCUGUAU
Molecule: non-coding RNA, 45 nt
Filed under: Schistosoma mattheei
Lineage: Eukaryota; Metazoa; Platyhelminthes; Trematoda; Strigeidida; Schistosomatidae
Source: RNAcentral